ACGGAAGGCAGCAGUGAGGAAUAUUGGUCAAUGGGCGGAAGCCUGAACCAGCCAAGUCGCGUGAAGGAAGACGGUAUUAUGUAUUGUAAACUUCUUUAGCAGUAGAGCAAUAAGCGCCACGUGUGGCGUGAUGAGAGUAUACUGAGAAUAAGCAUCGGCUAACUCCGUGCCAGCAGCCGCGGUAAUACGGAGGAUGCGAGCGUUAUCCGGAUUUAUUGGGUUUAAAGGGUGCGCAGGCGGUCAGUUAAGUCAGUGGUCAAAUCGUGAGGCUCAACCUCAUCCCGCCAUUGAUACUGGUUGACUUUAUUGCGGUCGAGGUAGGCGGAAUUCGUCGUGUAGCGGUGAAAUGCAUAGAUAUGACGAAGAACACCGAUUGCGUAGGCAGCUUACCAGGCCGUUAAUGACGCUCAUGCACGAAAGUGCGGGGAUCGAACAGGAUUAGAUACCCUGGUA
This 453-nucleotide ribosomal RNA is filed under the name uncultured Porphyromonadaceae bacterium. Its description in RNAcentral is "partial 16S ribosomal RNA". It matches the Rfam family "Bacterial small subunit ribosomal RNA", at positions 341 to 792 of the family's 1533-position model. The record is from RNAcentral. Lineage: Bacteria; Pseudomonadati; Bacteroidota; Bacteroidia; Bacteroidales; Porphyromonadaceae.